CACAGCCUGGUCAUACUCACUCCUGAACUCAGUGUAUAGAACUGGAAUAAAAGUUAGUUGCCCUUGCAGGCUCUGAGUCAGGCUGUCAAGCCCGUAGACCAGCUAUGGGCCAUGUCCUGCCCAGGCAUUCCAGGCAGGAGGAAGAGUUUGAGCAAACUCCAAAAGGGAAGAGGUGGCCAGGCCCUUUUGAAGAACUGCUGGCAGUUCAGUGAGACUGGAAUUUAUUCAUGUGGACAGAGAUGUAUCAGUCAUCUAGAAUUGAUGUUUGUGAUCGAUGUGAAGUCGGAUCAAGAUACAUUUUUUUCUCCAUGUGCAGCCCAGUAUGUUAAAGGGACCGUCCUUUCACUAUCACUGUGCAGUGCCACCUUCACCUAAAUCAAGUGUCUCUACCUCCAGGGAAGACUUCUCCACCCAAAGAUGGGAGAAGCCAGGACACUCUCGACCUGUGUCUCCGGGGAACCAAACCUCAGAUCAGGCACAGGGUGAAUGGGGGGAACCCCCUCCAGG
RNAcentral lists this long non-coding RNA (507 nucleotides) under Homo sapiens (human). RNAcentral's name for it is "HSALNT0364936". The record is from RNAcentral. Lineage: Eukaryota; Metazoa; Chordata; Mammalia; Primates; Hominidae.